Molecule: ribosomal RNA, 720 nt
Filed under: Staphylococcus warneri
Lineage: Bacteria; Bacillati; Bacillota; Bacilli; Caryophanales; Staphylococcaceae
Description: bacterial SSU rRNA
Rfam family: Bacterial small subunit ribosomal RNA
Source: RNAcentral
GGGAUCAAACAGGAUUAGGAUACCCUGGUAGUCCACGCCGUAAACGAUGAGUGCUAAGUUGUUAGGGGGUUUCCCGCCCCUUAGUGCUGCAGCUAACGCAUUAAGCACUCCGCCUGGGGAGUACGACCGCAAGGUUGAAACUCAAAGGAAUUGACGGGGACCCGCACAAGCGGUGGAGCAUGUGGUUUAAUUUGAAGCAACGCGAAGAACCUUACCAAAUCUUGACAUCCUUUGACCGCUCUAGAGAUAGAGUCUUCCCCUUCGGGGGACAAAGUGACAGGUGGUGCAUGGUUGUCGUCAGCUCGUGUCGUGAGAUGUUGGGUUAAGUCCCGCAACGAGCGCAACCCUUAAGCUUAGUUGCCAUCAUUAAGUUGGGCACUCUAAGUUGACUGCCGGUGACAAACCGGAGGAAGGUGGGGAUGACGUCAAAUCAUCAUGCCCCUUAUGAUUUGGGCUACACACGUGCUACAAUGGACAAUACAAAGGGCAGAUAAACCGCGAGGUCAAGCAAAUCCCAUAAAGUUGUUCUCAGUUCGGAUUGUAGUCUGCAACUCGACUACAUGAAGCUGGAAUCGCUAGUAAUCGUAGAUCAGCAUGCUACGGUGAAUACGUUCCCGGGUCUUGUACACACCGCCCGUCACACCACGAGAGUUUGUAACACCAGUAGUACCGUGGUGUAUACGCAAGUAGGAGCAACGUCAGCGUAGAUCGACAAGUCCA